Alnus glutinosa is the source of this 1250-nucleotide long non-coding RNA. RefSeq lists it as uncharacterized. The transcript has 3 exons. NCBI's taxonomy places the organism in Eukaryota, Viridiplantae, Streptophyta, Magnoliopsida, Fagales, Betulaceae. The record is from RefSeq and is a predicted model, not a curated record.
GUGGGGGAAGCACUAACACUCACUAGGGGUGUAAAUCCGGACCGGAUAUAUCCGGCCAGGAAACCGGCUCCGGGCAUUACCCGGCUCCGGGAAACCGGGAAUCCGGGAAAUCCGGUUGGAACCCGGAUACCCGGAUCCGGGUAUCCAUUUCAAAAAAUCCCGGAUAUACCCGGGUACCCGGCUCCGGGUGGGUUAUUUAAUUAAAAAAUGAAAAAUUACCUCCCUGCCCUUUUAUCCUAAAACUACAUGCAUAGGAAGAGGGGGAGGACUAUUUGGUCAUUCUCUGUUGAUUCAUUGUUGCCCUAAGCUAUCAGAUCAUCCAAAUCAAGAAUCAAGUAUCAAAACUUCAAAAGCUUCAAAACUCAUCUCCUGCUCAAGCCUCACUGCCGCCGGCCUGCCGCUCCAUUUCUCUUCACCUUCAGAACCCAUCUCCUGCUCACGGCGACACGGCAUCACAUUGUUCACGGCAUCACGGCAUCACUGUUGGGGUUUCUCUUCUUCUUGGGUGUAGAUCUACGGUGGUUGGGCUUUCUCCGGCGGUCUCGCGCCCCUUCCUGAGGCCUCGCCGGCUUGUUCCGAUCUUUCCCGUCGUCGUCGUGGUUGGCCGCCGCGCCGUUGUGAGUGGUCGAUGGGUUCUUUAGCUUCAUGGGUUGUAGAUCUACGGUGCUUGGGUCUUCAUCCAUGUGCUCGUGCCUCACCGGAGGGUUUCCCGUCGUGGUUCGGCUCUUCCCCGCCGCCAGAUCAGCUGCGGUGGCCUCCACGCGCCGGUUCACCGCGCGUGAGCGUGGGUGUUUGAUGAGUGCCAAAAAGACAAUAAGAGAGGAAUGACAAACUUCAUAAAGAAAUAGCGGGAAAUUCGGAUGCAGCAGACCACUACAUUUAGACUGAUCAUAACAGGACCAAACGAUAUCCGUUUUGGGAGUUUCUUAGGUCUAAAUUGAAUUUCAAGAUGUCAGCUUUCCAAAGCAACAAGUUUCAGCCAAUUUGGAGACCCUGACAAGUCGAUCGAUCGAAAAGUCGAUCGAUCAAAAUAAAAGUCGAUCGAUCGAACUUAUGCGGAGCUGGAAUUCCAGAAACCCUAGCUAACUCUAUAAAUACAUUCUAUUCUCAUUUCUUACGAGGGGAGGCCGCUUGAGAGCGCCCUAGGGGCCGUUCUCUCUGUAGUUUAGGGCUUCUUGUGUAUAUUUUCUCUUAGAACUUCAAAUCCUUGUAAGUUUCUUUGAUUUUAAUGCAUUCCUUUUGUUUAUUUA